This 460-nucleotide ribosomal RNA is filed under the name uncultured bacterium. RNAcentral describes it as "partial 16S ribosomal RNA". It matches the Rfam family "Bacterial small subunit ribosomal RNA", at positions 338 to 795 of the family's 1533-position model. The record is from RNAcentral.
CCUACGGGUGACAGCAGUGAGGAAUAUUGGUCAAUGGGCGAGAGCCUGAACCAGCCAAGUCGCGUGAAGGAUGACGGCCCUACGGGUUGUAAACUUCUUUUGUCAGGGAGCAAUUGGGUCCACGCGUGGGCUUAGCGAGAGUACCUGAAGAAAAAGCAUCGGCUAACUCCGUGCCAGCAGCCGCGGUAAUACGGAGGAUGCGAGCGUUAUCCGGCUUGAUUGGGUUUAAAGGGUGCGUAGGCGGAAUAUCAAGUCAGCGGUAAAAAUUCGGGGCUCAACCCCGUCGUGCCGUUGAAACUGAUGUUCUUGAGUGGGCGAGAAGUAGGCGGAAUGCGUGGUGUAGCGGUGAAAUGCAUAGAUAUCACGCAGAACUCCGAUUGCGAAGGCAGCAUACCGGCGCCCAACUGACGCUGAAGCACGAAAGCGUGGGGAUCGAACAGGAUUAGAUACCCCUGUAGUC